Molecule: ribosomal RNA, 218 nt
Filed under: uncultured archaeon
Lineage: Archaea
Description: partial 16S ribosomal RNA
Rfam family: Archaeal small subunit ribosomal RNA
Source: RNAcentral
UUGCCAGCCGCCGCGGUAAUAACCGCGCCUCAAGUGGUAAUCACGUUUAUUGGGCCUAAAGCGUCCGUAGCCGGUUUGAUAAGUUUCUGGUGAAAUUCACUAGUAGACUAGUGAAAUUGCUGGAAAUACUAUCAGGCUUGAGACCGGGAGAGGUUGGGAGUAUUCCACGGGUAAGAGUAAAAUCUUUUAAUCCGUGGAGGACCACCUGUGGCGAAGGC